GACGAACGCUGGCGGCGUGCUUAACACAUGCAAGUCGAACGGAAAGGCCCUGCUUUUGUGGGGUGCUCGAGUGGCGAACGGGUGAGUAACACGUGAGUAACCUGCCCUUGACUUUGGGAUAACUUCAGGAAACUGGGGCUAAUACCGGAUAGGAGCUCCUGCUGCAUGGUGGGGGUUGGAAAGUUUCGGCGGUUGGGGAUGGACUCGCGGCUUAUCAGCUUGUUGGUGGGGUAGUGGCUUACCAAGGCUUUGACGGGUAGCCGGCCUGAGAGGGUGACCGGCCACAUUGGGACGGAGAUAGGCCCCAGACCCCGACGGGGGGCAGAAGGGGGGAAUUUUGCAAAAGGGGCGGAGGCUGGAGGCAGCCCCCCCGCGUGGGGGAGGACGGCUUUGGGGUUGAAAACCGCUUUCGCCUGUGACGAGGGGGGAGUGAGGGAAGGGGGAAAAGAAGCCCCGGCUAACUACGUG
RNAcentral lists this ribosomal RNA (468 nucleotides) under uncultured bacterium. RNAcentral's name for it is "partial 16S ribosomal RNA". It matches the Rfam family "Bacterial small subunit ribosomal RNA", at positions 28 to 507 of the family's 1533-position model. The record is from RNAcentral.